Molecule: ribosomal RNA, 960 nt
Filed under: Inocybe sp.
Lineage: Eukaryota; Fungi; Basidiomycota; Agaricomycetes; Agaricales; Inocybaceae
Description: partial large subunit ribosomal RNA
Rfam family: Eukaryotic large subunit ribosomal RNA
Source: RNAcentral
GACCCGCGGACUUAGCAUAUCAAUAAGCGGAGGAAAAGAAACUAACAAGGAUUCCCCUAGUAACUGCGAGUGAAGCGGGAAAAGCUCAAAUUUGAAAUCUGGCAGCUUUUUUAGCUGUCCGAGUUGUAAUCUAGAGAAGCGUUACCUGUGCAGGACCAUGUACAAGUCUUCUGGAAUGGAGCAUCAUAGAGGGUGAGAAUCCCGUCUUUGACAUGGACUGCCUGUGCAUUGUGGUACGCUCUCAAAGAGUCGAGUUGUUUGGGAAUGCAGCUCAAAAUGGGUGGUAAAUGCCAUCUAAAGCUAAAUAUUGGCGAGAGACCGAUAGCGAACAAGUACCGUGAGGGAAAGAUGAAAAGAACUUUGGAAAGAGAGUUAAACAGUACGUGAAAUUGCUGAAAGGGAAACGCUUGAAGUCAGUCACAUUGGCUAGAAAUCAGCCUUGCUUUUGCUCGGUGCAUUGUCUGGUCAAUGGGUCAGCAUCAAUUUUGAUCGCUGGAUAAAGGCUUUGGGAAUGUGGCAUCUUUUGGAUGUGUUAUAGCCCAUUGUUGCAUACAGCGGUUGAGAUUGAGGAACUCAGCAUGCCACAAGGCCGGGUUUCGACCACGUUCAUGCUUAGGAUGCUGGCAUAAUGGCUUUAAUCGACCCGUCUUGAAACACGGACCAAGGAGUCUAACAUGCCUGCGAGUGUUUGGGUGGAAAACCCAUGCGCGUAAUGAAAGUGAAAGUUGAGAUCCCUCCCUCGGGGAGUGAGCAUUGACGCCCAGACCAGACCUUUUGUGACGGAUCUGCGGUAGAGCAUGUAUGUUGGGACCCGAAAGAUGGUGAACUAUGCCUGAAUAGGGUGAAGCCAGAGGAAACUCUGGUGGAGGCUCGUAGCGAUUCUGACGUGCAAAUCGAUCGUCAAAUUUGGGUAUAGGGGCGAAAGACUAAUCGAACCAUCUAGUAGCUGGUCCUGCGUCU